Non-coding RNA from Cinara cedri, 867 nucleotides. The record is from the annotation of a GenBank genome assembly. Lineage: Eukaryota; Metazoa; Arthropoda; Insecta; Hemiptera; Aphididae.
GGAUAUAAAUCAAUGAUAAUAUUAGUACACAUUAAAAGGCCACAGAUAUAAAACAAAAAAUAAUAAUAAUUGUUUUAUAUAUCUGUGCAUAAGGCUACGGCAUAGAUGUAUAUCAUCAUUUCAAAGUGUAUUAGAUGUUGUACCUUUGGUUAGGCUAGGUUAAUUGUACAAGGCAGCUAUAAGCCCACAACUUAAAAUUUCUAUUUUUCUCUGCAAAAUGCUGGACUGCAACAAGUUGUAGCAUAAUUAACGCAUCCGUGAUAAAAAUAAAGUAACGAGCGCGUAAAGAAAUCGGACGAACUUUAUUCAAGCAGAUAAAUAUUUCGGCCGAACCAUAUUUAAUCCGAAAAUUACAGCCGACCGUAAUAAAGAGAUAAGGUCAGAUCUUCCAAAAAACGAUACCCAACACGUGAUGGAAAUAAAUUAAAAUAAGAGAAAUUUCGUAGAUACAUUUUAAAAUGAAAAACAUUGUCAUUAAUUUCUUAUUUCUAAAUUUCGGUGUUGAAAUUUUUGAUUUCCGUCCACCCGUUGACGAGAUAUUCUACUUUUUAAGUAUGGGUUGGUGGAGUUGGGUGGUGGUACAUUAUUAAUACGUCGCCCACCGUACCGCCAUACAAAUGACAUUCCUCUAGUCUCCUCCAACCAAACUUAAAAGUGGAAAAUCUUGUCAACGGGUUGACAGAAAUCAAAAAUUUCAACACCUAAAUUUAUUUUAAAUAAUACUCCAUCUAUUUAAGAAAUUUUCAAAAUAGGUUGCUAUUUGAAAAUCAAAAGUAGACAGUCACUUACCCCCAAUAAUAAGAGGUACAAAAAAUAAUGAUAACGUAACAUACUAAAACUAUUUGAUUCUUAAGUUUUCAAAAAAAA